GCGCUACAGAACGCCGCCUUCACCGCUCUCAAGGUGCUCAACGCCGGCAUCCCAACUUUACUAUAUGGAAUUGGCUCCUGGUUCUUUGUCAGUGUCACAGAGACUGUUCAUACAAGUCAUGGCCCAGUUACUAUUUAUUUUCUAAAUAAAGAAGAUGAAGGCGCAAUGUACUGAAAUCAUGCCCUCGAGUACCUGUCAUUUGGUGGGUUUCUGUGUUACAGCUGCUACAAAUAUCAACUUUUGACUAAAAAGAACUGAAGGCAACUUUUUUUUUUUUUCAGUGCAUUAUUUUACUUAACAUGCUGUCUUUAGGAAGCUUCACGGACUUUUUGGUCAUAAGAGAUUUAUUUUUGCAGAGGUCAGUAAAGUUGAAAAAGUAGAAGCCUUAGGAGAAGAAUUAAUAUUUCUAAGGGUAUUAGAAUUUAUAGAAAUCAGCGACUAGUACUGCUGAAAAAGCAUGAUAAUUUAAAGAGAUACAUCUAAUAAUUUAAAGAACUGAAUUGUAGCAUGUGGGCAAGGAAACUGUGAAUACACUAGACAUUUUCAGAAUGUCUCUGGAAAGAUUAAGCUGCUUAGGUUUAGACUAAACAUUUCAUAAUGCAUUGAUUGUCAUAGUUGCAAGCACGUUGGAAUGGAUCCAUGGCACUGUCUCUUCACUGCCUGGAAGACUCUGGAAAAAUACCACCCUAAGUUAAAAAUGGCUGUAUCACAUUUCUUCAAAUUAUAUUUAAAUAAAAUAUCUAAAAUAACGUCUUAUGCUUGUAUCUUUUGCAAUUCUUGAACUCUAGAUAGUCUGCAUUAUUUUUUUUUUCUUUUGGUUGCUUUAUAGGUAAGUAACAAAACCUAAGUAAUCUACAAGAUUGUCCCUUGAGCUAAUUUACAAAUUGCUGAUAUUUUUAAUUAAUGCAGGAGAGUGAGGAGAAUACCACCCUCAUUUUUUUUGAUGAAGAAUAACCGUUUUUUUCAGCUGUAACUGAACACAGCUGUAACAGGCACAUAUAAUGAUGGAAUGGCAAAUUCAGUUAGAAACCUGGGCAAAGAAAAAGCUUUUAGGGAAUUAUUUGGAUAGUGGAAAUAUGGAAUUAUUGGAUAGUAAGUUCAAACAACAGAAACACCUGUACAGGAUAUAUUAACUGGUGCUUAGUGUUAGUGCCAACAAAUAAUGCUGUCUAUUCCAAAUCCCAUGUCUGAUGAUGUAAGAUUAUUCCAGUUUUCAUAAGUAGGAAGAUAAAUGUGAAAUUGGUAGGUACUGUUUUUGGAGGGUAAUCACUGUUCCUAAAUAAAUGAUUAUCAAGCUAUGACUACAGUAUAAUUUCAUCUAAAUACUUUUUUACUUAGUUCCAGAUAAUGGAACUGUUUCCCACUUAAUGAAGCAAUACAUGUGUUUUUUCUAAAAGCAACACUAAAUAACACUUUAAUCAGAGAAUUGCUUGCACUGUUCUAUUUAAUUUCAGAGUAUAUUCUUGAUGCAAGUUAAAUGGGUCUCAAAGAUGAAGUGACGGUAUUAUAAGAAGCCUCAUUAAUAAUAGAAAUGAUUGAACUCCAAAACGACCUUUCUAACUUUUUACAGAUUUGAUCUGUGCCAUCUCCAUUUGAAAUAAAGUGUAGUUUACCUUGGAAGUCUUGCCUUAAUCAUCUCUUUACUGUAUUCAAGAAUGAUGUUUAAAUGAGUGAGAGAUGACAUAAAAAGGUAGAGAGCUUUGUUUCACCUCAGUUAACAAUUCCUUCAGAUAAAUGAAACCUUAGUCUAAACCUGGAGGAUCAGGUAGCUGCUACUUGUAGCAGUCUUUUUAAACAGUAAUGACUACUGGGGGCAUCUUAACCUAAACGAGCGCUUAGCAUUACAUCUUACCUAGGUCAAUGGUCUCAGGUAUCUGAGUUAAACUGUGUUACUGUAAAUUAAUGGAAAAUGUAACUGUGCUUUGCUGAAAGAUCAAUGUCCAAUAAAGGCUGCACAAUCAAAUCUUGUUGCAAUGAUUGAGGUCCUUAAUUGCCUUUCAAAGAUAAGGUGGUAAUCAACAUAGGUUUAACUGAUCUUUUUUACCAGUUCAAUUACAUGCUAAUGACUACAGCCAAGUCAGGAUCUUUAACUACUUAUUAAAUCUUACGUUU
Molecule: long non-coding RNA, 2112 nt
Organism: Athene cunicularia (burrowing owl)
Lineage: Eukaryota; Metazoa; Chordata; Aves; Strigiformes; Strigidae
Exons: 3
Source: RefSeq, a predicted model, not a curated record